Molecule: ribosomal RNA, 252 nt
Filed under: uncultured bacterium
Lineage: Bacteria
Description: partial 16S ribosomal RNA
Rfam family: Bacterial small subunit ribosomal RNA
Source: RNAcentral
CGGAAGGUCCGGCGUUAUCCGGAUUUAUUGGGUUUAAGGGAGCGCAGGCCGCAGGUUAAGCGUGUUGUGAAAUGCAGGGGCCCAACCUCUGCACUGCAGCGCGAACUGGUCUGCUUGAGUGCGCGCAACGUCAGCGGAAUUUGUCGUGUAGCGGUGAAAUGCUUAGAUAUGACGAAGAACUCCGAUUGCGAAGGCAGCUGACGGGAGCGCAACUGACGCUGAGGCUCGAAAGUGCGGGUAUCGAACAGGAUU